Molecule: ribosomal RNA, 901 nt
Filed under: Bettsia alvei
Lineage: Eukaryota; Fungi; Ascomycota; Leotiomycetes
Description: LSU rRNA
Rfam family: Eukaryotic large subunit ribosomal RNA
Source: RNAcentral
GCAUAUCAAUAAGCGGAGGAAAAGAAACCAACAGGGAUUGCCUCAGUAACGGCGAGUGAAGCGGCAACAGCUCAAAUUUGAAAUCUGGCCUCACGGUCCGAGUUGUAAUUUGUAGAGGAUGUUUCGAGCAUGGUCCGGCCUAAGUGUCUUGGAACAGGACGUCAUAGAGGGUGAGAACCCCGUAUGCGGUCGGGUGCCUACGCUCAUGUGAAACUCCUUCGACGAGUCGAGUUGUUUGGGAAUGCAGCUCAAAAUGGGUGGUAAAUUUCAUCUAAAGCUAAAUAUUGGCCAGAGACCGAUAGCGCACAAGUAGAGUGAUCGAAAGAUGAAAAGCACUUUGGAAAGAGAGUUAAACAGUACGUGAAAUUGUUGAAAGGGAAGCGCUUGCAACCAGACUUGGGCGCGGCCGAUCAUCCGGUGUUCUCACCGGUGCACUCGGUCGCGUGCAGGCCAGCAUCGGUUCUGGUGGCUGGAUAAAGGCCCUAGGAAUGUGGCUCCUCUCGGGGAGUGUUAUAGCCUAGGGUGCAAUGCAGCCUACCGGGACCGAGGACCGCGCUUCGGCUAGGAUGCUGGCGUAAUGGUUGUAAGUGACCCGUCUUGAAACACGGACCAAGGAGUCUAACAUCUAUGCGAGUGUUUGGGUGUCAAACCCAUACGCGUAAUGAAAGUGAACGGAGGUGAGAACCCUUAAGGGUGCAUCAUCGACCGAUCCUGAUGUCUUCGGAUGGAUUUGAGUAUGAGCAUAGCUGUUGGGACCCGAAAGAUGGUGAACUAUGCCUGACUAGGGUGAAGCCAGAGGAAACUCUGGUGGAGGCUCGCAGCGGUUCUGACGUGCAAAUCGAUCGUCAAAUUUGGGCAUAGGGGCGAAAGACUAAUCGAACCAUCUAGUAGCUGGUUCUGC